CCCAUUGGUCCAGGUGAGAAGAAGAGGUCGUUGGGGCGUGACUACCACCCUCUGUGUCUGAAGUGUCAACAGUGUCAGAGACAGUUGACCCCAGGACAACAUGCAGAGCAUGAUGAGAAGCCCUACUGCACUAACUGUUACAUGAAGACGUUCGGUCCCAGAGCAGGUAAGGGGAGAAUGAUGUCAUACGGUCACAGCUCAGCCUCCUCUUCCUCUUCCUCCUCCUAGGAACCAGUCUAACCAAAAAAAAUACCAAAAUACAACCUAAUGAAAACUAACAGCCUAUCAACAAGGAUCUAUGUUCAACCAACCUGACAUUCAGCCAACAAGCCAAUGACUAAACAACUAGGCCCAACAUUCAACCAACCAACCAAUGUUCGACCAACCAAGAAAUAACCAAUAGACAACCAACCUGACAUUUAAUUAACUACUAUCCAACCAACCUGACAUUUAAUUAACUACUAUCCAACCAACAGACAUCAGUCUCACUCUGAAAGUCCCCCUCUUUCAGUCAAUUAUAAAACAACUACCUGGACCACAACUUUGUGCUCAAUGGAGACAACGGUUGUUCUUCAAUAAAACAAAAGCUCCUACAGCCGUCUUGUUGCAGUGUGUGAGUUAAACACAGGGUCCCUUUAGGCCUCAACACAUCCUUAUACUACACAUGUACUGGAGUGGACACUCCCUAGCAAGAUCAUGUCUAGAAUACCACCAGAGUUCUGA
This is a long non-coding RNA of Coregonus clupeaformis (lake whitefish), 723 nucleotides long. RefSeq lists it as uncharacterized. The record is from RefSeq and is a predicted model, not a curated record. NCBI's taxonomy places the organism in Eukaryota, Metazoa, Chordata, Actinopteri, Salmoniformes, Salmonidae. The transcript has 3 exons.